This 526-nucleotide long non-coding RNA is filed under the name Homo sapiens (human). RNAcentral describes it as "HSALNT0042415". The record is from RNAcentral. Lineage: Eukaryota; Metazoa; Chordata; Mammalia; Primates; Hominidae.
CGCCGGUUCCCGCUCGCGCCUCUCCCUCCACACCUCCCUGCAAGCUGAGGGAGCUGGCUCUGGCCUUGGCCAGCCCAGAAAGGGGCUCCCAGAGGGCAACGGUGGGCUGAAGGGCUCCUCAAGUGCCGCCAAAGUGGGGGUCCAGGAAGAGGAGGCGCCUAGAGCGAGCGAGGUCUGUGAGGACUGCCAGCAGGCUGUCACCUCUCAAUAUUAUCGGUAGCUCAUUUUGAAUGAAGAAAAAGUUAACCAUAACUCCAAAUGUUAUAAAAGUCAGGGUCAUGGAUGGCUGAAGCUUCUCCCGGCAGCUCACGGCACAAGGUGGGAACCAAUCCUGUCCAGGACGCCAUCCCAUUGCAAGGUGCACUCACACCCAUGCACACUUACUCUCACUGGGACCAUUUAGAUAUAUCAGUUAACCUCACCUAACCUGCAAAACAUUGGGAUGUGGGAGGAAAUCAGAGAACCCAGAGAAAACCUGUACAGACAAGAGAGAAUGUGUAAACUCCACACAGACAAUGACCCCAAC